UGUAAUUGAUUGUGGCGCACCGCCACGGCAAAAUAAAAGCCGCCACACCUUCAGAAUAAUGUUUUUUUUAACCUUGUUUUUAUGUUGUUUUAUGUUUAUAUUAACGACGAUUAUUGUAUUAAAUGUGAUUUCGGCACAAAACGUGGUGUUUUUCGUGAAAUGUGAGGCUACGCUGCAAAUACCCUACCCUUAUUUUGAAAAACUAACACCGGAGUCACUGCCUGGCACCUGCCUGUCUAACUGCUGCGCGUGAUAUGCGAAGAGAGUAGAGACAACAGUCCGACGUGGAGGGAGAGAAAAGGGUGAAAGAAAGAAUCUGACUGGCUGCCAGAGUCUGAGCCACUGCCUGAGUCACUGCUCCCUGAUUGGCUACUGCUGCUGGAGGAGCUGGAACUGGAGUCUGAACCGGACCCUGAUGCUGAACCCGAUCCAGAACCGGAUUCAUCAUCAGAAUUACUGUCACAUGUAAAGACAAAAAUCAGAGAAUGGACAUUGUUGCAUUAUUAAUUAAUACGUGAAUAAUUCUCAAAUCAUAAAGUUUUACCAAGUCUAAAGGUUUAGAUAAGUUGAAUAUGCUGUUACUAAUAUCAAUAUACUGUCAGCUGUAUCAUUCAAGAUGUUAUAAACGAUUAUCAACAAAA
Molecule: long non-coding RNA, 641 nt
Organism: Acanthochromis polyacanthus (spiny chromis)
Lineage: Eukaryota; Metazoa; Chordata; Actinopteri; Pomacentridae
Exons: 2
Source: RefSeq, a predicted model, not a curated record